RNAcentral lists this ribosomal RNA (498 nucleotides) under uncultured Glomeromycotina. RNAcentral describes it as "partial small subunit ribosomal RNA". It matches the Rfam family "Eukaryotic small subunit ribosomal RNA", at positions 591 to 1092 of the family's 1831-position model. The record is from RNAcentral. Lineage: Eukaryota; Fungi; Glomeromycota.
CCAAUAGCGUAUAUUAAAGUUGUUGCAGUUAAAAAGCUCGUAGUUGAAUUUCGGGAUCAGUACGCCGGUCGUGCCUUCGGUAUGUACUGGUGUCACUGAUUCCUCCCUUCUGAAGAACCGUUAUGCCAUUUAUUUGGUGUGACGGGGAAUCAGGACUGUUACUUUGAAAAAAUUAGAGUGUUUAAAGCAGGCUCGCGCUUGAAUACAUUAGCAUGGAAUAAUGAAAUAGGACGUUUGAUCUUAUUUUGUUGGUUUCUAGGAUCGACGUAAUGAUUAAUAGGGAUAGUUGGGGGCAUUAGUAUUCAAUUGUCAGAGGUGAAAUUCUUGGAUUUAUUGAAGACUAACUACUGCGAAAGCAUUUGCCAAGGAUGUUUUCAUUAAUCAAGAACGAAAGUUAGGGGAUCGAAGACGAUCAGAUACCGUCGUAGUCUUAACCAUAAACUAUGCCGACUAGGGAUCGGAUGAUGUUAUUUUUAAUGACUCAUUCGGCGCCUUACG